RNAcentral lists this ribosomal RNA (285 nucleotides) under uncultured Methanosaeta sp. RNAcentral's name for it is "partial 16S ribosomal RNA". It matches the Rfam family "Archaeal small subunit ribosomal RNA", at positions 190 to 473 of the family's 1478-position model. The record is from RNAcentral. Lineage: Archaea; Methanobacteriati; Methanobacteriota; Methanomicrobia; Methanotrichales; Methanotrichaceae.
AAAGCCUCCGGCGCCUCAGGAUGGGUCUGCGGCCUAUCAGGGUAGUAGUGGGUGUAACGUACCUACUAGCCUACGACGGGUACGCGUUGUGAGAGCAAGAGCCCGGAGAUGGAUUCUGAGACAUGAAUCCAGGCCCUACGGGGUGCAGCAGGCGCGAAAACUUUACAAUGCGGGCAACCGCGAUAAGGGGACCUCGAGUGCUGGGUUACAAACCUGGCUGUUGGGCUGCCUAAAAAGCAGUCUAUAGCAAGCCCCGGGCAAGACCGGUGCCAGCCGCCGCGGUAA